Molecule: long non-coding RNA, 202 nt
Filed under: Elaeis guineensis (African oil palm)
Lineage: Eukaryota; Viridiplantae; Streptophyta; Magnoliopsida; Arecales; Arecaceae
Description: long non-coding RNA (EGUI_LNC001843)
Source: RNAcentral
UGUUGGAUUGAGUUGGAAUCGUUCCAACCCAUCGAAAGGAGUUUUGAUAAUACUGUAAUGGAGAUCACGAUAUGUCUCACUAUCAGAUAGAAUAGAAUCUAAGAGAUUACACAAAAAAGAAUCUCGACCUCAAUAGCUUGGAUCAUAAUCAAAUUAUCAAUUGGAUUGAUGAUUUGGAUCAAUUUAUAAAAGUUACAAAUUU